RNAcentral lists this ribosomal RNA (844 nucleotides) under Moniliophthora perniciosa. RNAcentral's name for it is "eukaryotic LSU rRNA". The stretch from base 242 to 395 matches the Rfam family "5.8S ribosomal RNA". Lineage: Eukaryota; Fungi; Basidiomycota; Agaricomycetes; Agaricales; Marasmiaceae. The record is from RNAcentral.
GUGAACCUGCGGAAGGAUCAUUAUUGAAAACAUUGUAAAGGAGGUUGAGCUGGCUCUUGUAGGGCAUGUGCUCGCCGACUUUCAAUAUUCAUCCACCUGUGAACCUUUUGUAGCAGAUUCUGGAAUAGGGAGGCGCUUGCGUUUCUCUUAGUACGGAGUCUACUAUGUUUGUUUUUUAACACACUUAAUGUAUGUUUAGAAUGUAUUUUAUUGGGACUUAAUUGACCCUUUAAAACUAUACAACUUUCAGCAACGGAUCUCUUGGCUCUCGCAUCGAUGAAGAACGCAGCGAAAUGCGAUAAGUAAUGUGAAUUGCAGAAUUCAGUGAAUCAUCGAAUCUUUGAACGCACCUUGCGCCUCUUGGUAUUCCGAGAGGCAUGCCUGUUUGAGUGUCAUUAAAUUAUCAACCUUGAAUGACUUGUCAUUUCAGGAUUGGAUGUGAGGGCUGCCGGCUUUGAACAAGAGUCGGCUCUCUUGAAAUGCAUUAGUGGAAACCGCUAUAGUGGACCACAUUGGUGUGAUAAUUAUCUACGCCAUUGGGUUUAUCUACGCUUUCGAAUGUUGGUGGCUCUUUAAUUAGGUCUCAACACUUCGGUUUGGAGGGUUGCAAGUUGUAAUGACCUGCUCUCUCUGGGGUAUCUGCUUCGAACCGUCCAAAGUUACUGGACAAUGAACUUAGAUCAUUUUGACCUCAAAUCAGGUAGGACUACCCGCUGAACUUAAGCAUAUCAAUAAGCGGAGGAAAAGAAACUAACAAGGAUUCCCCUAGUAACUGCGAGUGAAGAGGGAAAAGCUCAAAUUUAAAAUCUGGCAGUCUCUGGCUGUCCGAGUGAAUUAGAGAAGG